CGCCUGCCCAGUGAAUAAUUAAACGGCCGCGGUACCCUAACCGUGCAAAGGUAGCGUAAUCAUUUGUCUAUUAAUUGUAGACCCGUAUGAAAGGCAUAAUGAGGGUUUAACUGUCUCUUUUAGUAAAUCAAUUAAACUGAUCUCCUAGUCCAAAAGCUAGGAUACCAACAUAAGACCAGAAGACCCUGUGAAACUUUAACUAAAAUAUUAAAACCCAUAAUAACUACUUUAGGUUGGGGCGACCUUGGAAAAUAAAAGAACUUCCAUACACAUGUUAUACUAAGCCUACAACGACCCAGCACAGCUGAUAAUUGAACCAAGCUACUCCAGGGAUAACAGCGCUAUCUUCUUCAAGAGCCCAUAUCAAAAAGAAGGUUUACGACCUCGAUGUUGGAUCAGGACAUCCUAAUGGUGCAACCGCUAUUAAGGGUUCGUUUGUUCAACGAUUAAUAGUCCUACGUGAUCUG
This 467-nucleotide ribosomal RNA is filed under the name Hydrophis obscurus (Russell's sea snake). RNAcentral's name for it is "partial 16S ribosomal RNA". It matches the Rfam family "Bacterial large subunit ribosomal RNA", at positions 1856 to 2607 of the family's 2925-position model. Lineage: Eukaryota; Metazoa; Chordata; Lepidosauria; Squamata; Elapidae. The record is from RNAcentral.